GUCAUGUGUCCUUAAGGGGUUAAGUGAAAUAUGUUCAUUGGCCAGGCAUUGGUCAAUCCAAUCCAGCAGAGAGAUUUUAUGUGUUGUAAUGGGUAUGAAAUCAUCAUGAGAAAAAAAAAAAAAAAGUUUGUGCAGUUCAGAAAAACUGGCUACUGAAUAUUAUGUGUUACUGGACUAUCCAAACUGCUGCCAUGGGUGAACAUUGAAUAGGAGCCAUCUAAGUUUGCCCAGAAAUAAGGCAAGUAAUUAUUAUAAGAAAACAGAUAGGUUACGCAACAGGAUGCUGAAAUACAGCAAACUAAAAAGGACCACUACAAUAUUGCUGCUGUGACUGAAAUUUCUGACGACAAAUAUAACCAAUGCAAAAAGAUCCAACGAUCUGAGCUUUUAGCAAGCAGAGCUAAUCUACAGAAAGGCAAACUUCCUUUAAUUUUCCCAAUGCAUAAAUGAACACUCC
Molecule: non-coding RNA, 457 nt
Organism: Pelobates cultripes (western spadefoot toad)
Lineage: Eukaryota; Metazoa; Chordata; Amphibia; Anura; Pelobatidae
Source: the annotation of a GenBank genome assembly